GCAGCAUGGUCUUAGCUUGCUAAGGCCGAUGGCGACCGGCGCACGGGUGAGUAACACGUAUCCAACCUGCCGUCUACUCUUGGACAGCCUUCUGAAAGGAAGAUUAAUACAAGAUGGCAUCAUGAGUUCACAUGUUCACAUGAUUAAAGGUAUUCCGGUAGACGAUGGGGAUGCGUUCCAUUAGAUAGUAGGCGGGGUAACGGCCCACCUAGUCUUCGAUGGAUAGGGGUUCUGAGAGGAAGGUCCCCCACAUUGGAACUGAGACACGGUUCAAACUCCUACGGGAGGCAGCAGUGAGGAAUAUUGGUCAAUGGGCGCAGGCCUGAACCAGCCAAGUAGCGUGAAGGAUGACUGCCCUAUGGGUUGUAAACUUCUUUUAUAAAGGAAUAAAGUCGGGUAUGUAUACCCGUUUGCAUGUACUUUAUGAAUAAGGAUCGGCUAACUCCGUGCCAGCAGCCGCGGUAAUACGGAGGAUCCGAGCGUUAUCCGGAUUUAUUGGGUUUAAAGGGAGCGUAGAUGGAUGUUUAAGUCAGUUGUGAAAGUUUGCGGCUCAACCGUAAAAUUGCAGUUGAUACUGGAUAUCUUGAGUGCAGUUGAGGCAGGCGGAAUUCGUGGUGUAGCGGUGAAAUGCUUAGAU
RNAcentral lists this ribosomal RNA (637 nucleotides) under uncultured Bacteroidales bacterium. RNAcentral describes it as "bacterial SSU rRNA". It matches the Rfam family "Bacterial small subunit ribosomal RNA", at positions 66 to 695 of the family's 1533-position model. Lineage: Bacteria; Pseudomonadati; Bacteroidota; Bacteroidia; Bacteroidales. The record is from RNAcentral.